UCGAGGGGCAGCGGGGGAGUAGCAAUACUCCCGCCGGCGACCGGCGCACGGGUGAGUAACACGUAUGAAACCUGCCCGUAGCAGGGGGAUAAGCGGAAGAAAUUCCGUCUAAUACCGCGUAACAACCCGAGGAGGCAUCUCCUCGGGUUUAAAGGAAGCGAUUCCGGCUACGGAUGGUCAUGCGUCGCAUUAGCUAGUUGGCGGGGUAACGGCCCACCAAGGCGACGAUGCGUAGGGGUUCUGAGAGGAAGGUCCCCCACACUGGUACUGAGACACGGACCAGACUCCUACGGGAGGCAGCAGUGAGGAAUAUUGGUCAAUGGCCGCAGGGCUGAACCAGCCAAGUCGCGUGAGGGAUGACGGUCCUAUGGAUUGUAAACCUCUUUUGUCAGGAAGCAAAGGGCGCCACGUGUGGCGUUUUGCGAGUACCUGAAGAAAAAGCAUCGGCUAACUCCGUGCCAGCAGCCGCGGUAAUACGGAGGAUGCGAGCGUUAUCCGGAUUUAUUGGGUUUAAAGGGUGCGCAGGCGGAAUGUCAAGUCAGCGGUAAAAUUUCGGGGCUCAACCCCGUCGUGCCGUUGAAACUGGCGUUCUUGAGUGAGCGAGAAGUAUGCGGAAUGCGUGGUGUAGCGGUGAAAUGCAUAGAUAUCACGCAGAACUCCGAUUGCGAAGGCAGCAUACCGGCGCUCAACUGACGCUCAUGCACGAAAGCGUGGGUAUCGAACAGGAUUAGAUACCCUGGUAGUCCACGCAGUAAACGAUGAAUACUAACUGUCCGGGCAGAAUGAUGCCUGGGUGGUACAGCGAAAGCGUUAAGUAUUCCACCUGGGGAGUACGCCGGCAACGGUGAAACUCAAAGGAAUUGACGGGGGCCCGCACAAGCGGAGGAACAUGUGGUUUAAUUCGAUGAUACGCGAGGAACCUU
This 923-nucleotide ribosomal RNA is filed under the name uncultured bacterium. RNAcentral's name for it is "bacterial SSU rRNA". It matches the Rfam family "Bacterial small subunit ribosomal RNA", at positions 62 to 972 of the family's 1533-position model. The record is from RNAcentral.